ACUUGAAUUGGCUGGAGCGCAAAACAUUUUUCACUAUCCAACGGUUGCGCUCGAUACUUCUAUUGAAACUAUCUACACUUCCAAAAAUGCACACGACGCCAACGUCAAUGAGUAAUAUAUGCUGUGCACCCGCCGCCUUAAGUAGGCUGCGCCUAUAAAAUGUCUCUCAGUCGACAUGGAGUGCACUAUUCUGUAGUGACAGUAUCCAUUGCGGUGAUAGCAAGCUACGCAGACCAGUUGAUUACCCGAUAUAAAAAUAUUCGUGUUUGAUAAGAUUAGUUGUUUGAGAGUGUCGUCAGAGCAACAACCAGAAUGUCGUGUAAAUGCUGUGGUAAUGCUAAUUGCAGAUGCACUACGUGCUGUGGAACAGACACACCAUGCGGAUCAGGAUGUACGUGCAAAUGUGAAUGCAAGACCGGAAAGGCCUGCAGUACACCCGGAUGCUGUUAGAGAGAAAAGUUUCGCUGUCAGAAUCGUGGAAGAUUUAAAACUUUGAAUGAAAAAAUUGCUCUUGUCCAAAUAAAAUGUGUUUGUGAAUAAUAA
This is a long non-coding RNA of Topomyia yanbarensis, 543 nucleotides long. RefSeq lists it as uncharacterized. The transcript is spliced from 2 exons. The record is from RefSeq and is a predicted model, not a curated record. Lineage: Eukaryota; Metazoa; Arthropoda; Insecta; Diptera; Culicidae.